GCCGGAAUAGCUCAGUUGGUAGAGCAGAGGACUGAAAAUCCUCGUGUCAC
RNAcentral lists this transfer RNA (50 nucleotides) under Dicranum scoparium. RNAcentral's name for it is "partial tRNA-Phe". It matches the Rfam family "tRNA", at positions 1 to 48 of the family's 71-position model. Rfam says of the family: Transfer RNA (tRNA) molecules are approximately 80 nucleotides in length. Their secondary structure includes four short double-helical elements and three loops (D, anti-codon, and T loops). The record is from RNAcentral. Lineage: Eukaryota; Viridiplantae; Streptophyta; Bryopsida; Dicranales; Dicranaceae. RNAcentral also lists the same sequence under 48 other names.